GUCAUAAACAUUAUGUUCAAAUUUCAUUGAUUUCUAUUUACUUAAACUAAAGUUAUUGUGCGAAAACCAAGAAUAAUGCUUAUUUGGGCCCUUUUUUGGCCCCUAAUUCCUUAACUGUUGAAACCAAAACUCCCAAAAUCAAUCCCAACCUUUCUUUUGUGGUCAUCAACCUUGUGUCAAAAUUUCAUAGAUUUCUAUUAACUUAAACUAAAGUUAUAGUGCGAAAACCAAGAAAAUGCUUAUUUGGGCCCUUUUUGGCCCCUAAUUCCUAAAAUGUUGGGACCCAAACUCCCAAAAUCAAUACCAACCUUCCUUUUAUGGUCAUAAACCUUGUGUUAAAAUUUCAUAGAUUUCUAUUCACUUUUACUAAAGUUAGAGUGCGAAAACUAAAAGUAUUCGGACGACGACGACGACAACGACGACGACGACGCCAACGUGAUAGCAAUAUACGACGAAAAUUUUUUCAAAAUUUGCGGUCGUAUAAAAAUAGUAUAUAAACUAAUUAUACUUGAAUGAUUUUCUUUUAUUCAAUUUACAUAAAUCUGGGUUUAGUUGUAUUUUAUUAGAACUUUUGAUUUCUGAUGCUUUAUCAUUUCAUAAUUGAUUGGGCCUUUCACUUUUUCCAACUGAAUUCGUUUUUGAUGAAACCCUGUGUUUAUUAGCAAUGUUUUCGUUAUGGUACGCACACACGCCCGUGCGUUCGAUGGACUGUUCCUAAAGACACUAGCUGAGUCUUGUUAUCAUAACUUUCCCUCAAUUUUCCAAAAUAAGCCGAAAACAUGCUUCUAUUCAAUAUUUUAACCGGACAUUCACUUUCGUUUUAAUUCGAUGUAUGUUAUGAAAAAUCCCGAGCAAUGCGAAAGAAAAUAUGACUACAUGACACACGCUAAUUGGAUAAACACCGAGAAGAUCGAAAUAUUUACAAAAACACGUGUACCUAUCAAGCAACGGAAAACUCAAACAGGGACCCAUUACAGCUACUUGAUGCAGGGA
Molecule: long non-coding RNA, 993 nt
Filed under: Mytilus galloprovincialis (Mediterranean mussel)
Lineage: Eukaryota; Metazoa; Mollusca; Bivalvia; Mytilida; Mytilidae
Source: RNAcentral